This is a non-coding RNA of Podarcis lilfordi (Lilford's wall lizard), 21429 nucleotides long. The record is from the annotation of a GenBank genome assembly. NCBI's taxonomy places the organism in Eukaryota, Metazoa, Chordata, Lepidosauria, Squamata, Lacertidae.
CCUCAGAUGCUCAGGUGUUUAAAGAGAAGUAGGGUCCCUCCCCCUUUCUGGGAAGGAAGGACCCUUAAAUUUAACAGAUACCUGCUUUCUGUGGAUCCUGCUGUGUACCUUUUCCAGAUCAAUAUGCUGAAUCAUAGAAGGAGAUUCUACAGAAAUUAAGACACUCAGAGUGAUCAUUGUAAUUCUACAAUUUACCACAGAAUACACUAAGGGACUGGGAGAGGCAGCUAUAUUAAAGAAGCUGGAUAUUGCACUCCAGUUUAAAUCAAAACAAUAAUCUCUAAGCUUCUAAAACAGAGUUUCCAUAGUAACAUGUCUUCAAGUAUGGGAAUAUGCAUCCAUAAAUAAGUCAUUUUAAGAAUUUUCAGUCUCUUUUUUCAUUCAGAGAAGCAUCCAUCUUCAGGUUCUAAUUCACAGCUCAAGUAGCCCCACAGCUCAAGUGGUGUGGAACUGACACUCACAGCAUAGUCUGCUAGCACAGUCUUUAUUCACAAAACACUGCACUCUUCCCUCAGAUAUUUUAAUUUAUUCAAGCAAACAAUAUAAGCAGCUUUUGAAAUUUUGUAGCAUGUUGAUACAAAUUUUCAGGACCUUUACAACCUUUCAAUAAAUUUAAGGGCUGUGGGAAGUUUUACAUAUUUGGAUAGGCUUGUCUAAACAAAAAUGUGUGGUUUUUUUAGCAGGCAGCAAAAAGGGUACAGUGAAGGAACCUGCCUGAGAUCAACAGGCAGGGAGUUCAAAGGUGUAGGUGCUGCCACACUAAAAUAUCUAUUUCUUAUAAAUGCACAAUGAGUAUGAUGUGGCAGCUGUAACAGUGGCAGUUCUGCAGCUUGAAGUGGUCAAGUGGGCAUGUGCACCAAUAUGCUUAUAAAAUUAUUCUUCAGAAAUAUAGUACAACAUGGUGUUUGCCUUUUUAAUACAGAUCAUUUGCAUCUUACGCCCAUUUAACUCACGCAAUUUCAACCAUAUUCCAUUGAGGGUUGGCUGGCUGAAGUUCUGCAAGUUAUGUGUGAGCAAAGCAGAGAGCUUAAAAGCUCUUUUUGCACUGGGCUUUCAGGGCACAAAAAGAGCUUUAGAGUUCUCUGCCUUGCUUGGAAAGCAAAGCCCUCUUGGCACACUGGUUCUGGAAUGUUCUUCCGUGAUCUCACUGGGCUGCCUGAGUUCCCACAAGAUCUUGCACAAGCAUCCCUAGUCUUCUGGAGCCAGCACACCAAGAGGGCCUUACCCCCAAGCAAGGCAGAGUGCUUAAAAGUUCUUUCUACGCUGGGUCUGCUUGGGUUACCAAAUAUCUUUGGCCCCAAAUAUCUGAAGAAAUGCCUGCUUCCAUCACAACCUAUCCAAAUGCAAAGAGGCUCUGUUAAGUGGCAUGCAUAAGAAGGGCUUUUGUGCAAUGGCCCCUAGCUCACAAAAUAUCCUGCCUUCUGCAGGGCAUCUUACACCAUCAUAAAUGUCCAUCCCUGCAGUCUUGCUCUAGUCUUUUUAUCUCUUCAGGAAAUGACACUUGAAAAGAGGAGUCAAAACUCAGAUAUCUGAAGAACAGGGGUGUGGGGAGAGCGGUGAGGAGAAAUUCCCCCUGAAAGAAAUACACAGCCACUUUUUUUCUUUCCUUUUUUUCUUUUUGCCUCUCUGUUGCCUUUCUAAUAAUGCCCGCAGAGUUAGAGGUCUCCUAACUUGAGAAGAUUUCUGUGUAUAUAUUAUUGGCAGCAAGACCUCUCCAAGGAAAAGAAGAGCAUAUUUUGCUUUCCACAAAGCAAGCGACAAAGGAGGAAAGGCAUAAUUAGACGGAAAGCCUAUAAAACAGAUACAGCCAUGUAACAACCUUUGUCUUCCUUGUUUCAACAGACUGUAAAUGAGACGGUGACAGACAAGUGCUCCCAGCAAAAUGCAAUCUGUAAGGUUCAAUGUUUUUAACUUCCUGAGUCUGCAACCAAGGAUGAAAUCUUGCCCUUAUUAAAGACAACAGAGAGAAGAAAAGGUAAUAUUGGAUGCAGUGAAGUGAAAAUUUCAAUUCAUUUUCCCCCAUAAGUUUUAUUUAAUGUCCAGAAAGGAUGAAAAGGAGUUUCCCUGUUUACCUUUUUGGUUGUUUUCCUUCUUCCAGAACUGCUUUUCCUGCUCUGCAUAGGAUAACUCUGGUGUUUUGCAUACAAUGCUCUGCAUUUCAUACAUUAUGCUAAAAGAGACUAUGAAAAGAUAUUGUUUUUGGCAUAUCCUUCAUGGGAGACCCUGUUUGAUGGAGAAACUCUUGUUUUCUGACUAAUCCAGACCUUGAGGCCAGAGCUAUAGUGCAUGAAUCCAGACAACCUAGCAUCAUUCACAACAGAGAGAGGUCAAUUGGAAUCACACUGGAGUUUGAUUUCUGACGUUCUUCUGGUGUUCGUUUUUUAGUAGAGGAACAAAGAAUCCGUCCUUGUUAUAGGAUUGUGAGAGGGGUACUUUUGUUUUUUAAAAAAACAAGUUUCGUUUUAUUUUUUAAAUGCAUUUGUUUAUUUGUGUACGCUAUAGAUUUGUAAAUCGCUUUGAGGCUUUUUUGUGGAAACCCAUGAAUAAAUAAAUACUAACUAUUGGGUUUGAACUGCUUUCAAAACAGGCAACAGCUAACAAAAGUAUUUUGUGGCAGCCUCAUCUGUGUCUGGGUUGAUCGUUCUCACAUUCAAACAUUACUCCAGGCUGUUGUUUCAUUGCUUUCCCCCAUCCCAACCCCACAAAACUGUUGCUUGGUCCUAACCCUUCAUCACAAAAGGAAUAUGCAAUUUAGCUGCAAGAGUAAAAAAUAAAAAUUUAAAAACCAUUGAUAUUCACUAUUGCUGUCUCUAUUACGCGGCCUUUGAAGAUGGCCACAUAUCAAGUGCUCAGCACUUACAUAUUAAGAUGUGUGGAUUUUUUUCUUUUGACAGAAGGCUCAUCAUUUGUGCCCAAAUUUGUAUCAAACCGCACAACAUACACAGUUGUGUUUGGGAAAGAAUACAUUGGGAUUCUUAGCAUAAAUAACUCAGAGGUAAAAUCUAGGGCAUGAUCUAGUGAAAAGCAAGAAGACUUAAAUCUGCUGGUUGCAAUGGGAGAGAUUUAAGUGUGUGCUGAGAUCUCCCUCUGAAAUCUAUGGCACUGCUCAGAGUCUGGUUUUGGUUAGAGCCUGACUUCAUAAUUAAAUCCUUUUGCGGAUUAUUUGGGCUAGCCUUUGAUGUACUCUCGGUGGAAGAGCAGCUUCCAUACAAAUAAAAAUGGAUGGCGCCAGAGGCAUAGUUUAAGUAGUGCAACUUGAAGCAGCUCUCAGAUUAGAAAGGUACGCAUUCUUGCUUCACUUGGUUUUACAGGGUUUUGCUUUCAUGAAAACUCCUUGAGUGGUGUUGCAGUGAGUGCUUCUUCUGCACCCUGCAAGCCACAGCGGAUACAUAAAAUUCUCCAGAAAUAUCACAGACAUUUAUUUUAAAGAAGGAGCAGCUUUUGUCCAUUUAUUUCCUCUUUCUCCUGCCUGAUAGAACUGGCAUGCCAAUGAUGUGCUAGCUUUUAUAUUGUGUCCAGUAUCUGGCCAGCUACAAAAUGCCAUUGCCUCCAUUUUUUUCAGCGUGCACCAAUAUGAAUAAAAAAUUAGAAAGAAAGGGAAGGGCAUUCAGAAAGAGACAUUUCCCACAUCCUGGCUCCUCACAGGAAGCUUUUAACCUGCCUCCCCCCACCCCCACCCGAGAGCAAUCUCUUUUCAUUGCAUAACUACCUUUGCAAUUCUGGGACACGGCCGAACUGCAGCUUUUUGUGUUCCCUGGAGGCAUAGGAAGCAACAGUUCCCAAUUCUAGGCUGCAUCAACAGAAGGAUAGCAUCCAGUUCAAGGGAAGUAACCGUGCCACCCUAUUCUGCCUUGAUCAGACCCCACCUGGAGUACUGUGUCCGGUUCUGAGCACCUCAAUUUAAUAAGCAGUAUGACAAGUUGGAAUGUGUGCACAAGAGGGUGACAAAGGAUCUGGAUACCAAGACUUACAAGGAACAGUUGAAGAAACUGGGUACGUUUAGCUUGGAAAAGGAGGGACUGAGGGGUGACAUGACAGGGCUGUCCCGUGGAAGAUGAAGCAAGCUUGUUUUCUGCUGCUCCAGAGGGCAGGACCCAAACCAAGGGGUUCAAGUCACAAGAAAGGUGAUUCUGACCUCAACAACAGGGAGAACUUUUGAUGGUAAGAGCAGUUUGACAGUGGAACAAACUACAGUGGUACCUCAGGUUACAUACGCUUCAGGUUACAGACUCCACUAACCCAGAAAUAGUGCUUCAGGUUAAGAACUUUGCUUCAGGAUGAGAACAGAAAUUGUGCUCCAGCGGCGCGGCGGCAGCGGGAGGCCCCAUUAGCUAAAGUGGUGCUUCAGGUUAAGAACAGUCUCAGGUUACGAACGGAUCUCCGGAACGAAUUAAAUACUUAACCUGAGGUACCACUGUACAGAGCCCUACACUGGGCAAAAGAUUCCUGUAUUGAAAGGGCUUGGACUGGAUAAUCCUUGGGGUCCCUUCAAACUCUACAAUGCUAUGAUUCUAUGAAAGGGAGGCACUUCCCUCCAUCCCAGGAUACCCUGGUAGAAAGCUAGUCAUCUGGGUGGCACAUGACUGGCUCCCAUUGGCUGGAAGGUCUAGAGAUUGAUUUUUUUGGAGAAUCUUAGUAGUAGAAUCAUGAGGGUCAUCAAAACCAACCGCCUUCAAUGCAGGAUUUUUUUUUUGCCCAAUGUGGGGCUCAAACCCACAACCCUGAGAUUAAGAGUCUCAUACUCUACCAACUGAACUAUCAGAGACUACUAUUGAAGUUAUCCACUCAGAUCCUCACCCCCAAUUUCCAACUUGUUCCUUGAUAACCAUGAGAGGCUUAUUAUCUUUUUAUUGUUUCCACUAAAAGUAUGGACAAUGUUCACUUUACUAUAAUAAACAUAUUAUAGUCAUAUACCCUCCAGGUUCCUAAAGUAACCAGUGCAAGAACAAAUACAUAUUAAAAUACAUAUAACUGUAUUUGCAUAACUGCAAAUACUUCUGCAUUCAUCCUUCUAAAAUGAUGCUGCAAAACUAUUAUCAGUAUUAUUGAUAAAAUUUGUAUAUUGCCCUCCGUCUGGAAAUCUCAGGGUGGUUUACAACAUUAAAAGACAAGAUAAAAAUCGCUAAAUUCAUCAUAUAAACAAGAACAAAAGCGAACCAAUAACACCCCUCCCCCCUCCCACAACAAGUUUAAAAGGCAUGCCCAUAUAAAUGCUUAUAUCCAUUUUGUUGUUGACAGACAGGUAGCUCAGCCAGUAGAGCACGAGACUCUUAAUCUCCAGGGUCGUGGGUUUGAUUCCUGCAUUGUAGGGGGCUGGACUACAUGACCGUCAUGGCCCCUUCCAACUCUACAAUUCUAUGAUUCUUCAGCGAUUAUUCCAUGGCAGAAAGACUCUAGGCCAGAUCUCUUCAUGUGUUGUGCCUUGUUAUAUAAUUGUGUGAUUACAGCUGCAUGUGGAGGAAAGGAGGACUUCAGUCACUGGCUGAGCCAAAGCCCUCUGCCAGGCCUCCUUCCCUCCAUCCAUGUGUUGAGGUGGAAAGUCCCAGAUAGGGAGCGAUGCUCCACAUGUCUAGGGAUCUCCAUAUGGUUUAGAACUCUCUAAAUGGCACAGGAAGCCUAUGCACAUAAAGCAUGCUACUUUCUUCAGACUCUGCCCACCCCAAAAAACAUGUAGGGGCCUGGCAACAGGGUGUGGCAACAGGGAUGAGGCCAGCGCAGGUUCUGUUCCACAUGUGAUUGUAAGCAUCAAGGCAUAAUGCCUGAACAAGGCCAAAUCUGCCAAAUCUGUCAUCUGACAAUUACAUUGUUUCAGGCUGUUUUAUGGGAAGCAAUUCAUAAAUGAAGUAAACAAAUAAAGUGGCAAUGGUGUUUGGGUCAUUUUGUAGAAAAUGAAUCUUGCAACCAAUUAUUUAUAAAAUAUAAAAAGAAAUAUAAUAAUUACCAGGAUGUGAUGAAAGCAAAACAAAAGUCACUCUUUUUAAACCAGUGCUUCUAUUUUAAACUAUUCCACCUCCACCCCCCACCCCUUUCUGCUCUAUAAGGUUUUGGAAUGAAAACAUUCUUUUGAGAAAUGCUUCUAAACAGCUUUUCUUGUUAACACUAUCCCUGGUCUUUUAAAAAUAAACACUUUCACAAAAUUAUUUCAGCACACGUAAGCAGCCUAUUCUGUGACAAAUAUGACAUUAACUGCUAAGGCCUACUGUGUAUUUAUUUACUGCAAGUUUCCUGAUGAUACUUGAUAAGAUAGUUCUUUUAAGCAGAUGUACUGUGCAGAUUGAAAAUGCCUUUCAGUUUAAAACAACCUGGCAAUGAUUUAUCUUUCUGUAAAAAGCAGAGCUUAUUUAGAAACAAUCACUCUCUAAAAGACCUGGGGCACUUCCACUUAACCUGUUUAUUGAUCCUUCAUCCUGAUUUGCUUGCAGGGAGAUUAGACAACACUGGCUAUUUAAUGAGCCUUCAUUCUGAUUUCUUUUAAGGAAAGGUUGGAUGAUGUUUUGUAAAUGCAAGUGUAAAUGCCCACACUUUCCAGUACAUUUUCACAUCACUUUCCUUACUGCAAAAAGUCUGAUCUUUUGGAGAACUCACUGGUUCUACACUGAAUGACUAUUGGUUUGUUGCACAGAUAUGCAUUUCAAGUUUCAAGGCGCAAGUCUCUUUUUGUAAAAAGAGUGAUUGCUGCAUGAUGCUAUAAUUUUAUUUCAAGGUAUUGGAGCUGGUGUCAGAGGUUGGCAGAGUUGGGUUCCUGCCAAGGCCCACACCUUGUUAAAUAUAAUUGUUUAAUUGCACCCUGAAAUGGAGAAUGCCUGUAUGCAGGUUGUAAAAGGUUUAACAUUGGAAAAUUCCAUUUGAGUAUACUAAGCUAGAAAGAGCACUCUCUAAGCUUCUGAGUUGAUCAUUAACUGUUGGUGUUCUCUGCUAGCCUUUGAGUGAGUGUUUAACCUUAGAUCAUGUGAUUAAGGUAUUCAAUUGCAAAUCUCCAUCUUGAAGGGAGUUGCAAGUUAAUCUUUCCCUGGACGUCACAGAGAACAAAAGGAUGUGAUCAUCGCUCUCCAGGAGCUAUGUAGCCUUAGGCUGGAUGCAGGUUUAUGCAAGCUAUGGGAGAGACAAAGACUUUAUUUUUACACUAAUCAUUAUAUAUAUAUAUAUAUAUAUAUAUAUAUAUAUAUAUAUAUAUGAACCUAUGCUUGAAUAUGCAUGUGAAUUAUACAACUUUCUGGAUGUAUCAUUGAUGGUUUUGUACCUGUUUUUGAAGAAGUUCUGAUUAGUAAAGCUUUGAGUAAUACUUAUGGGUCCAAGAGGAGUCAGUUUUUAUGUUCCAAUUGCUUCAUGCUGCACAAUAUUAAUAUGUGCAAUGCACCUCAGAAGAGGGUCCACAGCACAUCUGACGACCAGAGCCCCUAACCUCACUGGUGCUUCUCUUGCAAUUUCUGCCUUUAUACCUGUGGUCUCCCUCUAGCCAAGAGAGUGAGAGUGAGUAACAGGGUGAAUGAGUGAGUGGAGCAAGGAGAAGGAACAACUGCUUCUGCUCACUUUCAUACUUGCUCUUUUAUCCCCAAGGCAGAGGGAGAAUAAAUGGGAGCAUCUUCCUCUAGGUCAGUUUCAAACACUGGCUAUGAGCUGUAAGCACGGACUUUAUGUAGAGCUUCACAAACAAGAUCUCUGAACACUGCACUUUAACAAUAAACAAAAAUAUAUAAAUCGAAGAUAAAGUUGAUUGUUCAAUGGAGCUGAGGACUUUAAAAGCUAUCCUGCUAUGUUUCCUAGCAACCAAAGCAUUUAAUCCCUUUCUCAAUACUGUCUCAAGCAUUUAUGUCUCGACUGCAUUUUUUUGUAACUAUUUAGGAAUCUCUUUGAAUUUUAAGGUUGUUUCGCUGGGGGAACUGAUAGCAUAUAGACUGCUCAAAUAAAUUUUCUUUGGUAUUCAGUCCAAGUGUGUGGCCUGCUGAAUUAUUUGGUUUUACACAAGAGUAAGGUAAACUUGGGGGGGGGAUUAAUGAAUGUGGGUUUUUUAACAGCUCCCAUGCUUGGGCCCACUCAGCUAACACUUAUCCAGAGAAGCACAAGGCCAUUAAAAGGUGUAGUUCACAGUUAAUUUAGCAUACAUGAAUUCAACCCAGCAAGGAUGUAUUGAAAAAUCCAUUCAAGUUCUCUCCUAAGUCAAUUUUAUACAUUCGCUGAACACAAUAACCUAUUGCAGGCUUUAUUUUCAUCAUUAUUCCACUACAACAGGGGAGCCAUUGUCACCUUUUUUUUAUGAAGUUACCUGACACAUAAUUCAGCCGAGACUUACAUAACUGUUCCUAUAACUAAAUGUGGUCCAAUUUUAAAAUGUAGGACAGUUCAGUAACAUAAACAUGCAUACAUAUUCCCUGAAAAUGUGGGGGGAGAGCUGGAAAUUGCCAAGAAGUAACAGUGUUUAUGUGGGAGUGGGGCACUGACAUCAUGCCCUAUUUCCGGUCUUCCCCCAAAGCAUUAGUAACUUCAAGAUUUGAUUAUUGUAAUGGGCUUUAUAUGGAGAUGCCCUUCUAUCUGAUCUGGAAGUUGCAACUGGUACAGAAUACAACACCCAUCGUCCUCACAGAAGCAGGUUACUGGAAAUGUGUUCCUCUGCUACUGAGAGGGGGAAAGAGCCUGCAGCUGGUUAUUAACCACCUAUUUAAGGACUGUGCCCGAGAAGGGGGCAUUCAUGAACAGGUAGUUAUUAACAUUUUCUGAAUCCAGGGAAUAUUUCUUAAGGAAUGGCUUUGCCACCGCAACCUUGGGGCAUUCAGGGACCAUUCUCUCUCUCUCUCUCUCCCUCUCCUUCUCUCCUAAUGAGGCAUUAAUCACCUCCCUGGUCCAGCUAGCUGGAGAUACAGCUACCAGAAGUUCUAUUCAAGGCUGACUAUUGAAGUGAAGCAGUAAUAAAUAGUUGAUUGCCCAUUAAACAUGAACUGUAAACUAGUCAAAAGACAUAUAUUGUAGGAAAUUAAUUGGGUUCACUAGCACUGUGCUCAUCUGCUACAUUGACUUUCUUUAAAUAGAACUGAGAGUCCAGGUGACAGCUCUCCAUUCAAAGCAUCUGCAAUUAGUAUAUUUACACUCCGGGAUUUACUUUGGAGAACAGGCUAAAUAACCAGCUGAUGCGCAUAAUUGGUGCAUAGCUAACUUAGACUAUGAGGUCACCACAGGCUAUCUUUUUCUUUCCUUAAUUUCAGGGCAGAAUAGAACAUGAAUCUGCUUGGGUUUUUUAAAGUCCUGUACCACAACAAGAGGUGACAAAUUGCAUUAGACGAGGGAGCGAUUUCAAACACAAGAUUCUGAAACUCACAAGGCCACUGUAUUUUAAAUUUAAAACUAGAUUAGGUAUUAGAGCCAUUUAUAGGUAUAAAGCAGGCUUCCUCAACCUCAGCCCUCCAGAUGUUUUGAAACUACAAUUCCCAUCAUCCCUGACCACUGGUCCUACUAGCUAGGGAUCAUGGGAGUUGUAAGCCAAAAACAUCUGGAGGGCCAAGGUUGAGGAAGCCUGGUAUAAAGUAAGGAUAUGCAAACCCAUCAUUUCCUUCUUGCAGGCACUCAGACACAUUGCACAUUCAGAACCAGGUCUUUAGCGUAUGCAGGUAAUAGGAAAAGUAAGAAUAUAAAAGGCUUCUUUUGUCGUACCAGAUGACUAUGGUAAGCCAGCAAGCAGGAGAGCAGUAGACCUCUCUCAUGGUUACUCUCCAGCAACUGAUACUCAUGACACUUCCUGUAGGUACUAUAUUAUUAUUAUUAUUAUUAUUAUUAUUAAAAUUUCUAUACAUCCCUUCUUCUGUAGAUCACAGGGUGGUUUACAAAAUAAAAACACAAAAAUAUGUAUUACAAUAACCAGUGAAAACAAUACCCCCGGUUUAGAAGGCCAUAGAUGAUCAGCAAGCGAUCGGGAGGGGAGAUAAGGGACUCUAGUGAUAAAGGAGGCUGCCCGGGAAGGGGGAGGUAAAGACAGCGAACUUGCAAGGAGAGGAGACAGGAAGAUUAAAGCAAUAAGGAGAGAAAUUAGAAGAAAAGGAGGAACAAAGAACUGUUCCAGCUAAGGAAAAGACACUAAGGCAAACAAGGGGGAAAGGGGUGUUGUAACAAAGCUGCUAAGCAGCUGAUUGGCAAGGGCUCGGGAGGGAGAUAAGGGACUCUAGAGAUAAAGGAGGCUGCCUGGGAGGGGGGAGGUAAAAGCACAUGGAUCCUCAGGAUUUUUGCAUUGGGUCACCCCAAAUUCACCAUCAGAUCACAUAGCAUGUCCAUGGCUACAGCCUACACCCAAAAAAAUCACGCCUCCACUGUUUCGUGGGGCCACAAUGGCACAAAAACCUGGUUACAAAGCUCGGAUCCACAUGUCUCCUCAGGAUUUUUGCAUUGGGCUACUCCAAACUCACCGUCAAAUCACAUAGCAUGUCUGUGGCCACAGCAUGAACCACAAAAAUCAUACAUCUACUGUUUCAUUCAGAAUAUUUUUUUCCUUGUUUUCCUUCUCUAAAAACUAGGUGUGUCUUAUGGUCAGGUGCGUCUUAUGUAGUGAAAAAUACGGUACUUGCAUGAGCUUCCACUAGUGGGACUCUUAGGCUGAAUCUGACACAUUUCCUUGUACCACAGUCCUGGCAAGCAUCCCCUAUUAGGAAGCUGUUAUUUGAUCUGGGGUGGAAGCUGCAGCUUGCAUUAGGGAGAAGGCUUAAAUCCCCUUUCCCCUUGCAGCAGGAUCAAUUUGGAUCAGGGCCUUAUGCAACUAUUUAAAAAAACCCAACAACAAUGAAAAUGCAGAAAUGCAUUUAACAAUCAUGUUGUUUAGCCCAGAGACAAUCCUCCCUAGCCAGAUUGCUGCAAAUAUAUUUGUUUAAAAUUCAAAUUUUAUACUUUUGCAACAAAAAUUCAUAUCUUUCUACAGCCUUUUCCAGAUGAAUCGUGCCUUAAGGCAUUAUCUAUCAUCCCAUAGAAGCUGCAUAAACACAUUUAUCACAAAUCCAUUUUUUUGCAGUUUUAAUCUAUCAUCAGGCUCCUAGACGAUAACUACCGAAAUUCCGGCUGUAACUACACACACACACACAUGCACAUUACAAUUUACCUCAUAGUUACCAUUUAAAGAAACUGAAAGUGCAAACCCAGUGUUUCUCUUGAGACAUCAUUACUUUUUAAAUUAUGCUUGGUAUUUUUGGAAUUCGGCAUGGGUUUGCAAGUGCUGAGUCAAAAUAGGAGCGAAUGAUUCCCUAGGACUAUUUCCUGCUUUCCAUAGUUCCACAUCAGCAGAGUAUAUCCAAUGCACAUUUUCCACAUGGAACCUUCAAAACUGGGUCUUUGAAAAAUGUAAAAACUUUCCCCCUCUAUUUUAGGAUUAUUUUUUUAAAUUCAUGACAGAGGAUUUCCCUUUUUUGUUUCCAUGGCUAUCCUGAUCUGGCUUUCUUCCUUUUAGAAUGAUAAGUUGUUAACCUUCCUUUUUCUCACCCCAUUUGAGCAGCAUUUGUUUUAUUUCAACAUAGUGUGUUCUUGUUGUUUGGCAGAUAUAUAUACUCUCAACUGGCUGAGACAGGUACAGGCAUGCGAGUGCCCUUCAGAUGCCCGUCAUCCUUGACUCUUGGACAUUCUGGCCUUGUCUGAUGUGAGUUGGAGUCCACUAGCUUGCCUAACCUGGGCUAAGGUGUAUCUCUGACAUGCAGUCUUCCUUGGGUGUAAAAUUCAUUGAGCUCAGUGACAUGUAUUUUGACUGCAUUUUUAUAUGUUUACAUUGGAUGAAAGUUGUUUGUUCUUUUUCUAUAAUAUUUAAAUCCCUACCUACUAGAACUAGAUGCAAAGCAGUGGCUUGGAGGUGGCUAUACGGACUUAGAAUUACUGGUCAAGAUGCCUCUGAACAGAUCUUCAGUUCAGAAAAUUGGUUUUCACUAUUAGAACAGGGCUCACAAAUAUUUUUUCCUCACCCAAAUCCAUUCCCUUCCCAUCUUUAUUUAGGAGAAACAAACAUACAUACUUCUUGUUUCUAGUGUUAAACGGUUAGAAGUAAGGUAACCUUGCUCACUGAUCUACUAUCAACCACUCAGAGAUGUAGCAGGAGAUGCUAAUCUACCUUCCACCACCACCACCCCUUUUCAUGCAAAAAUCAUGGUGCAAUUGCAGCUCCUUCUGCGUCACAUAUACACUUUCUCUUUUGGUGUCAACUUAAUCUUCAUGCUUUUCCUCUCUGCCUCUCUGUUUUUAACCGUUUUGAUGUUCUUUCAUUUCCCAUAUUCAAUUCACUCUCCUUCAAACAUCCAUCCAUUUCCCAGACAUCACAGGUAUACAAAAUGUGAAAACAGCAAAGAGGCUUGUGGCACCGUAAAGGCUCUUUGUUGUUUUAGCUUCAAGCAGCACACUCAUACACACACCCGGGAGCUGUGAGCAACAAGCACAUGGCUUUCCAAAACCAAAUGUUUUCGGAUAUUAAUACAGUGGUACCUCGGGUUACAGACGCUUCAGGUUACAGAUUCCGCUAACCCAGAAAUGGUACCUUGGGUUAAGAACUUUGCUUCAGAAUGAGAACAGAAAUCGCGCGGCAGCAGCAGGAGGCCCCAUUAGCUAAAGUGGUACCUCAGGUUAAGAACAGUUUCAGGUUAAGAACAGACCUCCAGAACGAAUUGAGUUCUUAACCCAAGGUACCACUGUACUGUUAAGUGACAUGAGAAGUAGCACUGCUCAAAUCCCUUCUUCUAGGUGACAAAUUUUAAAAAGGUGCGAAGUCCUCUUUACCUUUGCAUAUCUUUUUUUAAAAAAAAUUAUAUUUAUUACUUUUAUAGAUUACAAAAAGAGAAAAAGAACAAGAAAGAAAAAACAGAAAAAAACAAAAGAGAAAAGCAAAAAAACCCCAAAUACAAUACAAUACAAUACAAUACAAUACAAUACAAUACAAUACAAUACAAUAUAUAAACAAUACAAAACACACCCUAAACUCAAACCUAAACACCUUAAACUAAGCUAAACAAACCCCACUCCCUGGCCUUAACCCUAAAUGAAAGAAAACAAAAACAAUUUAAAAACAUACAUCAUCUCUUUUCCAUACUCUAUCUUUCAUUCCCUUGUUUCCUCGACCUCCUCUCACCUCCCUUUUUGUAUUCCACUUCUAUUAAUUGUUUCAGCAAAUCCUUUCCAUCUUUCUCCAUUUUCUGUAAUGUUGUAAAUAACGUAUUUUUUAACCUUAUUUUCCAUUAAAACUGAAAUACUUAUAUAUGCUUAACUCCUUAUAACAUUUCUACUAACCCCACAAAAAAUACAAAAAACCAUUCCACCAUUUUUCUAUCACUCAUUAGUUUUACCAUAAGUCUAUAUAUAAACUUUACAUUUUCCAAUCUUCUUCCACCAUCUCCUCUCCCAGGUUUCGGAUUCUGCCAGUCCUUUCCGUCAGCUCCAUAAAGUCCAUCAACCUGGUAAUCUUAUGUCCGAGGCUCUUAACUCUUUUCCAAGUCCCUUCUGCAGAUCUUCUUCAUUUUCUUUAAUGCUAAAAAGCAAAUCUCAGGGAAACUCCAACCUGUCAAUCCUUUUCUUCCUUCUGAACAAAUCAGCUAAAUUUCCAUAGUUAAAGCUACAGUCCAUAAAGUAUUUCAGAGCAUAUUUCAGGAUUCCUCCAAGUCCAAAGGCCCCCAAAACUUCAAUCUCCUCCAGGCCCGAGUCCAUGUCCCAAAAGUCAGUUAAUCCUUACAUAGAGGGCUCUUUCCAACUUUCCUUCUUUAAUCCAAACCAGGAUCCAUUCCUCAGAGUCUGACUUUUCCUAGAUUCAAUCAUAAAAGGCCUCGACUUAUAGUCCUCAAUUUGCUUCUGUAAAGCCACAGAUCUCACUUGUAUUAUUUUAUGCUCAACAACAGCAGCAUUCUCCUUCUCCUCCUUCUCCUCCACCAUUUGUCCUGCCAAAAUGGAUUCCUGUACCAAGUCCUGAAUUAUUUCUGUGUUGGUGUUCGCUUUUUGACUCAAAUUGGUCACUUUCUGAUCCAAAUUAUCAACUUUAAAAGCCAUGUCAUCCAUCUUCUUGUGAAGUUGUCCCAGCGAACAACUUAUCUUACAUAAAACAGUCACAAUGGCCUCUCCUGUCAACAUUUUUAAAUGGUCCAAGGUCACUCUCUGGUUCUCAGAAUCCUUAUCUGCAACUGGAAAUCCCCCAGUUACAGUCCUGUUACAGUUUCAAAAGCUCCCUCUAGAGAGAAACAGUCUCCACUUGUAUCAGUUCUUUCAUACAUUAAAGAAAAAUUUUCAGUUACUUUUCCUCUUUUUUAAGCGCAGAAAAGGACAAUGGAAACAGUAUCUUACUCUUAUUUAGCUAGCUGUCAAAUCCGUUCUGUCAAAUGCACUCUCUCCAAACGUCAUCUGGCAGCCCGUUCCCAGGUUCAGAGCAGUGGUAAUUUAAUUUUUCACUCUCUCCUGCAGGCUCACUAGAUCCAAAAUUUCCCCCUCUUCUCCUGCUUCCAAGGGGGGUUUUGUAUUUUAAACCGGUGGAAAUUUGAUCCUUUGCCAAAAGCUUUGAAAGGCUUUAACUUGUAACGUCUUUGCUUCAGUCUAUUUACAAAAACGGGAGGCGGACUUCCUGUUUACAACCUUCCCGUUUCAAUGCCAAAUUAAAGUAUUUAAAAAUCAAAUUUUCCGUUUUACUCACGCGUAGUUGUUUAAAAUCCAAUUGUCCACAGGAAAAAGUCAGCGCUCUCCGGCAACAGCAAUGCGGCUUCACUCCGUGAAAGAAGCAGUCGAUUCAAAGCACCGCGCCACUCACCCCACGUCGCUCCGGACCCCCAAAACAGGGUUUCCCCGCGAGUAGGGGAGGCGCAAAAGGUGCCAGCCAAAUCCCAGGUUCACAAGCUUCUCCCGCUUGUGAUUUCAAUGGGUCUCCACCUUCGCCGUGGCGGUCAGACCCUGUUUUUCACGGAGCAAGUUCCUCCCGAACGGAGGAGCUCCGCCAUUGCCGGAGGCGCCAACCUUUGCAUAUCGUUACUCUCAUAUAGGAAUGGCUGCUUGAACCGUAGAAGAUGACAAUUGUAGCAAGUCAUAUUUGUGUGAAACAAGAAAAGCUGAAAUAUAAAUACAUUUAUAUUUAUGAACUGGCUUUUUAAUUACUUAGCAGAACAUACAAUUUAAAAUAGAUAGUAUAGAAGAAAGCAUUCUAGUUUUUUUAUUUUAUUUUAAAGGUGACUGCAAUGCUAUCCAUUGAAUGGCACUGCCAUUGAAUUUACUUCCAAGCAGACAUGCCUAAGACAUGCACUGUAGGACUACCAUUCUGGGUGCUCAUUCUUAGAAGUAAAUCCUUCAAUUUUAGCUGAAUUUAUUUCUGAAUAACCUGACCGCAUGUCUCUAGAUUAUCUAACAUGAAUAUAACCAAUUUGCAGAAAAAAUUAAGAAAAAAAGAGAUUCUGAGAGAAAAUGAGACUGACAGAUUAGUCCUUCCCUACUUUUGAGUAGCCUUGCCUAGGAUUGUGCUAUAAGGUAUAUAAUCCUGUACACAUUCACCUGUGAGCAAGUCCCAUUGAGGUCAAAGGGACUAACAUCAUAGCAGACAUAUCUAAUACAGCAUGGUUAAUCUGUGAUAAGCAUGUUUGUGAACAAGCAAGCAAUCAUUUGGGUGGCAUGUUAUUCUUUUGUUUCUGGUGAUGGACUCAGUCCAGACUUUACUGUCUGGAUGCCAAAUGGAACAGUUCAUUAAAGGUUCUUCCUUUCAUUAUUCUUCUGUCAUUUAAUGAGGUAUUGAUCUGUGAUUAAGUGAUGCUUAGAGGAUACCAGUCACAAAAUGAACAACUAGUUACACUUUAAAAUCCAUCAGCCUAUCAACUAAGAUAUUGAAAUGUGAAGCUUUAUUCUGAGUCCUUACUAGGUCUGUACCAAUAUAAUAAUUUUUGGGGUUUUUUUUGUUAAGCUUGAUCCCAAUAUCUGCUUCCUAGGGUGCUUGGGAUGAGGCACAUUGGAAUGAAGUGUUAGGCCAGCGGUGCUCUCAAGUAUUAGUUACCUCAUGUUCACAUUUUAGCAGUGUUGCAAUGACAUCAUUUUCUGGACCUUGGUGACAUUGCUCCGGGCAAUAAUCUAGAUCAGGUCACCUAGUAAAGGACCCUUGGAUGGUAAAGUCUAGUCAAAGGCAAUGAUGGGGUUGCAGCCAUCAUCUCGCUUUUCAGGCUGAGGGAGCCGGCGUUUGUCCACAGACAGCUUUCCAGGUCGUGUGGCCAGCAUGACUAAACCGCUUCUGGCGCAACAGAACACCAUGACGGAAACCAGAGUGUACAGAAACACCACUGACCUUCCCACUGCAGCAGUACCUAUUUAUCUACCUGCACUGGCAUGCUUUCAAACUCUAGGUUGGCAGGAACUGGGACAAAGUAACAGGAGCUCACUCUGUCAUGGGGAUUCAAACCACCGACCUUCCGAUCGGCAAGCUCAAGAGACUCAGUGGUUCAGACCACAGCGCCACCCGUGUCCCAGGUCACCUAGUAAAUAUACAAGGUUCUAUUGCGUGGGUAUUACAUUAUAUGCAGGGAGGAAUUUAUUAUUAUUAUUAUUAUUAUUAAUGUUAUGUACUUUGUGUUUAUAUGUUGUAAACCAAUCUUUGGAUGAAGGGCGGUAUAUAAAUUUAAUAAAUAAUAAUAAUAAGAUGGUUCAUAAAAAGAAGUUGGCAGCAAAUCUCUAAAAAGCAAGUCAACCUGUCAUGAAACCUGCUUAGUGAAAAACACCCUCCCCUCCCCCCAAAAAUGGCAAAUUUCUUUAUCGUUCUCCUCUUCUGGGGCUUCCCCUUUUCUAGUUCUGCUCAAUAGUGGAUCUCAAUGGACAGGGGGGGAGAGAGAAAGAUGAAAGAAGAUUGUCUCUUAGUUAAUCUGAACUUGGGCCAUAUAAGUCUUUGAAUAUAUAUAUAUUUUUUAAAAACAGAAUUUAAAAACUGUCUCACUAACAAAUUAGUUUUCAGUGAAACUCCAACAUGAGCAACCAACCUGCCUGUUACCUUCUAAACCAAUGGAAGCUUUUCAUGAUGUCUUCAAGCAUGGCACCAGAAAAAGAACAAGUCAGGAGGUUGCUAGAGCAUGCACAGAGUUCCAAGGGGACUGGUGUCUCAGGCAAAGCUCAUGAAAUAUUCUCUCAGCCAUAGCUUACACCCAAGAAUCCAGAAGAAAGACCACAUCUACCAGUAAAUAUGAAUAUUACUAAAUUUGACAGCAGCUCAAAUGUGGGAUAACUGUAAAAUGUUGACCUCUCCUGCAUGUCAGCUAUCCGAUACUGCAAAAUGGCAACUGUGCAUGUCAGAUACUAUAUCAAAUGCUGACGGCAACUGCAUGUCACUUUUCAAAUAUCAGUAAGUACUGGCUGCUGCAUGUCUGAUGCUAUCAAAUACUGACUGCUACUGCAUGUCAGCUGUCAGAUCCAAUCAAAUGCUAGCUACAACUGUAUAUGUCAGUUGUCACAUAUUGUCAGAUGUUAGCAGCUGCAUGUGAAAUGUCUCUUUUAGUAAUGGACCACUAUUAUAUUUCAGCUCUUGGAUGUUGAAUGCUCCAGCAAAAUAUUUUGUUGUCAAAUACUGGUGCUGAAUAUACUUUAUUCACCGCAUAUCUGGAGAAUGCUCACAUAUACAGAAGAUAUGAGCCAUCAGAAUUUUAGAGGAAAAUUUUGGUGGGAGAGAUGGUUUCGGAUAACACAACAGGGAACAGCGGCCCAAUGCAGCACGGGGAAUGUGACCUAUAUGUCUUUCAACCAUUAAAAAUCUAGUCAGAAGUCUGAAAAUCUAGGUGAUGAUGAGAGCACUGCAGUUAGGAAUUAAUCAUUCCCUGAAAAAAUGUCAGAAAGGAAAUGGCAGGGAGAGAAGAGAGGUGGUUACAGAAAGAGAUAGAAGUGCGUUGCAGAGGGAGAGAGAUGGCAAAUGGGAGCUUAACCCACUUAAUCUAACCCCACCCAUCACUGGCUUUGGCCUCACCUGCUACCUGCCUGCCUACCUACCUGCAGUCCUUGACAGACUACCCCCAAGGGAACCUGUGCCUUCAGGUAGUAGUAUAUGAGAGAAAAUAACUAGCAUGAUGAGAAACUUCACUUGUUUCAGAAUUUUGACUAAUGUCUCCUGAUAUCUCAUGCCACUGCUUAACUUAAUUCUACCUCCAUACACUGCAUUGUGUCGCUUAACUUUACCCCUAAAUGCAAUGUGAAGGCUUGCUGCUUCUUUUCGUCUCAUGUGGGGCCUGCAAUUUGUGCGAUUUAAUAUCAUAUGCCUAUACCCAUCUAUCUCCUGCAAUGGUGGAGAGCUCUGAGGCAUGUUUCAAUUUGUGCAGAGCCAGGCCAAAUUGGAGACAUCUCCUCACAGCCUACAAUUCCCACAAAACAGAACCAGGGACUUUGAGUGUAUUCUCACUUUGGUGGACUCAUAAACUAAUCUGUGCCUUAGCACUGUCGAUUUUAUUUCUUCAUUAAUUUACUCUAUACGGUUUAUAAGCCAGCCUCUACAGGAGUACUCUGGGAAGCUUACAGGAAUAAAUAGGGUACAUUAAAAGGAGCAUUUUCUAUGGAAGAAACUUAAUCUCAUACAGGAAUUAGUCUGGCUCAUUACUCUUACUGGGUGAGAUAUAGAGAAAAUAAAAAAAACCAGAGAUAUAGUAGGCUGCAAUAUAUUGUCUGAUGAUGGGCCUUUGGAUAUAGGGUUUCCCGCCACACAAAGAAUAAACCCUCAGUCCAAAGGAGCCUCAUUUUUUUUUAUCUACUAAAUCAAAGAGAAAUACUUUAUGGAGUUUUGAUCUGCAAUUACAUUGGACAAGUCUGAAGUAGGAUAGUGUGUCAGAAUCGCUCAAUUAGCCUGGCCAUUAUUGUACUCCGUGAGAAGGUGUGUUUGCAUCAGCAGGGGACAGAAAAUCAUUAGGGAUGGUUGAUGCCUUGGUUGGUUUCUGGAUAGAAACCUGUGGGAAGUACAGUAUAAAAGGGUUGAUACCAGAGUGCAGGCAACAGAUAGAACCUGAAUCAUUUUUAAAAAUCAUUUUAGUUUCCAUGGAUACCAUUGCCCUGCAUAUGCUUCGCCUAAGAAGUAUGUCAGAGUCAAAUCACACUGCUUAAAGCUAAAUAAACUGUGGAGUAGUGACGUAGCCCAACACUUUGUUAGCAGGGAGGUCACUCAUCCAAUUUGCCAAUUCAGGUACUUAAUACUGGUUGCCUGCAAAAGUCGGCAGGAAGAAUUCCAUGCGAAAACUUCUACAGUGAAUUUCAGCAGGUUCUAUUUGUGCUGUCCCACUUUCAGUAUCGACUGAAUUUUGGGUGUGUGUUCAAGCAUAUAUUUGUUAAUAAAGGUUCAAUGCAUCAUGGGUUAGAUCAAUGGUUCCCAAAGUACCGUCCUGCGGAGGAUUACUGGGGAAGGGCAGUAGGGGGCUCUAGAGGUGUAAAUAACUAUCACUGGACUGAGUUCAUCAAUUUUCUUGAAUUAAUUAAACUACAGUGAUACCUUGGUUCUCAAACUUAAUCCGUUCCGGAAGUCUGUUCCAAAACCAAAGCGUUCCAAAACCAAGGCACGCUUUCUCAUAGAAAGUACAGUGGUACCUCGGUUUAAGAACAGCCCUGUUAAUGAACUAUUUGGUAUAUGAACUCCACAAAACCGGAUGUAGUGUUCCGGUUAGCAAACUUUACCUCAGUCUACAAACGUAAGCCGAACGGUGGAAGGGCACCUGCAGCGAGAGGCCUCAUUAGGGAAAGCGCGCCUCGAUUUAAGAACAGCUUUGGUUUAAGAACGGACUUCUGGAAUGGAUUAAGUUUGUAAACCGAGGUACCACUGUAAUGCAAAACAGAGUAAUUCAUUCCAGACUUUUAAAAACAACCCCUAAAACAGCAAUUUAACAUGAAUUUUACUAUUUAACAAGACCAUUUAUCCAUAAAAUGAAAGCAAUAAUCAAUGUGCUGUACUAUAAAAUAAAUAAGACAGUAUUGUAGAUGAUAAAAAAAAAAAAAUUCUUACCUGCACUGAUGGUAGUCAUUGUUUGCAUGGGGGGCCUUCAUCCAUUUCCACAGUUACACAAUCAAUCAAUCAGUAGCUGAACUGGGUUCCACACAGUCACAAAAACAAAUUAACUGAAAAAGCCUCAAAAACAAAAACGCAAAAUAAAUAGCAAAAACAAAAGUGCCAAACUUAAUCCGUUCUGGAAGUCCAUUUGACUUCCAAAAUGUUUGAAAACCAAGGAACAGCUUCUGAUUGGUGCAGGUGCUCCAGAAACAAUAGCCGACAGCCGCAUAGACGUUCGGCUUCGAAAAAACGUUCAAAAACCAGAACACUUACUUCUGGGUUUUCGGCAUUUGAGAACCAAGGCGUUUGAGUACCAAGGUACUACUGUAAAUAGUUUUAAUUGGAUUUUGAGUAAAUGUGCAAUUAAUUGUUUUGAAUUGUAUUACGCUACCUUCCUUAGUGAGUUGUGCAAACUGCUAUUCUGAAUUAUUAUUUUUCAUAGGGUAGGGUAGGGGGCACUGUGGAUAAGUUUAUGGACCAAGCGGGCAGUAACCCCAAAAGGUUUGGAAACCACUGGGUUAGAUAAGAUAGGUACAGUAUUUGUCUUCAGUUGCACCAUGUAACAGACGUACCAUCUUAAAUCUACAUUAAUAUUUCACUGUUCUUGCCCGCUCAUAUUUGAUACUUCACUGUAGAUCAUAUCCAACAUCACAGGAUUGUUAAAUGCUGUCAAGAUUCUAAUGCUGUAAAGGAGAACAUUAGCUGACAGUGUUGCUGUUCCACUAAUAGGUGGUUGCUGUUUCUGGAACCAUGCUAUGGUCAACUUCAUAAAUGCUCACGUUCUUAGUAGAUACACUUUUCUUUUCAGCAUCCACAUGGGCCUCUUAAACUCCCAGGAGAAGGAGCAUGUGACGAACCACCCUCAAGCAGGAAGUUUUGAAGGGGGCUUCUUAAAAAAGUGUGAGUGGAGUUAUUUAGAAUCCUCCGCAUGAAAGGCAACUUUGCACAAUCAAGGUUCCCAUUCACAGGGAGGAAUCCUAAGUGUUUUCAUCCAAAUGCAAGCAGUUUCACACUGCUCCUUAAAAAACAUCUGAAAACAGGGUUUAGAGGAGACAUGUUGACUGAUCACAAAGGGCUUUCAAAUAGGCCUGUCUUGCUCCUUCAAACCUCCAGAAACCAGAGGUGGAUCAUUCCACACAUCCAUCAAAAUAGGCCUGUGGAGUGGUGGGGAGGAUAAGGAUGCUGUUUCCAGUGCCCCACUCCCUGCCCUGCAGCUAACCAACCGAAGACAUUUUCUGUGUGUGACUGUACUCUUUAUUUUCUCCAGCACGUCUGGUCCAAGUUAUCCCUCAUGAUGAAUUACUGUCAAGUACACAAUUUUGUCUGUGGAGCAAACUGGCAUCUGGGACAAACCACAGUCUAUGGGUUCGCCUUGCUUCCUCCUAUGAGGCCAGGAACACUUAGCACUUUAUGUAGUGUUAUUUUAUCCUCCUCACUCAAUAACACAUUUAUGUCCCAAUAACUUCCCUGGCGCAGGU